CGAACGGAUAGAGAGGGGGGUGGGGGAGGAGAGAGAGGGAGGCGGAGACAAAACGGUGAGUGUUAUAGGAGAAGGGGGAACAAAAAGAAGGUUGAAAAUGGCUUUUCACCGACCUUCCAAACUAUAAUCCCAAAACCCAAAAUUGCCCUGCCCUGCCAAUCAAAUUCCCUUUCUAGUUUAGACCCCAAACGAGCCAACUCUCUCUCUCUCUUCCUUUCUUUAAUUCCCUCUCUUUAUUACUACUCUCCUUCCCUCUCUCUAAAAACCCCCAAAACCAGACAAACCCAGAAGUAGAGCAGCUCUAUGUGUUUGGUGGGCUUGGCUGGGCUGCACUGUUCUUCAAUGGCCGCUGUUUUAUUCAGUGACCAAGCUGCCCUUGGUUACCACGGGCUCUCCUCUUACUCUGCCUUUGUUAAUCAAAGGUCAUUUUGGGGCAUUCGUAUAUAGAGAGAGAAGAGUCCCGGUUACAAUGUAGGGUGCUUAAAAGGCAGACAGGAUGGAGCCAGGCAAAAAUAUAUACGUAGUUUUUUCUCUCUCAAAAAAACUCACACCCCUCUUUUGUUGUUGUUGCUGUUGUUUUUUUCUUUUUUGUUGUUUUUUUUUCUUUUUAUUUAAAGGAAGACGGGAGGGAAGAAGAAAGAAGAAGCAUAUGAUUCUUCUUCAACGAUGGGUAUUUGUUAACACACAUCAAAAUGCAGAGGAGACAGAAAAAGGAGCAUUUUGAUGCCUUUUCUUUAACAUAUUUCUUUGGGGUCUACAGGCUCUGGUCUGUUGCUUAUCGGGGGCAAAUAUUCCAGAUACAACAUUACUUUAUUUUAUCAGAUGUUGCAUGCACUCCUGUUUGACAUGGCCAUCAUGCUCACUAUACGGGAGGAUAUUUCUCUCUUGAUGCUCCAUGGUUGGGCAACAAUGUCAUGUGUAGGACAUGCAUGUCCUCCCAACAGGACGGCAAAAAAUUAAGACAAGAUGUGGAUUGCUCGUAUUCUGUCCUAUAUUGUGAGUGGUUUUCUCGGUUUUGGUGAAAGCGUGACCUCUCGUUAGCCUUGGAAAAAUCAGAGGUUGCUAUAGGAAUGGACACAAAUGCCUGCCUGCCAUCUCUAUGGAUAGAUAGAGGCUUGGAAUGGUCUAGACGGUCAUCGAGUGCUUGCUUGCGAAUCCAUAGAGAUCUCGCUUUGAUGGUAGUGGAUGCUCCCGUGGUCUUGUGGUUUAACAUGUAAUCGGCACCUCGUUGUAUGAGAAAUUUUGUUGCAAUUUACUCCUCCGUCCACCUACCAUCUUACUAUGCCGCCCUCAUCCAACGGUGCCGUUAAAACUAGAAUACGUGAGAGCUACCGGCACGUGUCUCAGUAUGAGGGAGACUUGUUGUGAAGACAUUGCUGGAUGAUUUUUACAUGACUCGAUCCAGCUUGCUAUGUUUUUUGCCUUCGCUUGCAAGUGGUUGCUUGUUUUCUCUAUAGGCAUUCCAACUUUAGUUAUCGUAUGCAGAGCCCGAACUCCUUAUUCUUGAGGAUAUCACUUUUUAUUUAUUUUUUUGCUAAAACAUAUCUCAUGUUUUACCGCGGCCGCUGUUGAUUCUCACGUCAAGCAUCUUUUUUGUUUUAAAUUCUAGACAUUUAAAGAAAGCUUCGAACACGCCUUUGAUUUUGCUUUUUGUUUGCUUCAAUUCUUGGCUUUAUUCUUCUUCAGCCAUGUUGUCCUUGUAGUAACUAUUUUUCCAGGCUAUGCAAGAUCGCUCCACACUAUGAAAGACUGCCCGCUGCAGCGCGCGAGAAGUAUACCUGGUAGGGACUAGAGUGGAGGACACGCAUCACACCUGUGCGAGGAGGUUGUUGUGGCGAUGUGGUGGUGCAUGCAGCUUCCUCCAGAUCUAACAAUGGCCUUUCUUGGUGUCUUUGAAAUCAUCUCGGUGAUGGCUUCCUUGUGAGGCAACGUGUCGCGGUGGUGAGGGUUCGAUGUAGUUGAUCUAUUUUUUUUUUUUUUAUCUCAUCUCUUUUUUUUUUCUCUUGGUUUCCAUGCCUGACCCUCUUCAAAAUAGCAGAGUGGCCAAUAAGUUUUUUUUUAAUCAAAUUUGAUCUUUAUUUUUUUAUUGUUAUUUUUUUUUAAUUUUAUCCUUCAACAAUUGAUUGGUUGGAAAUUGAGUUUUGUAAUUUUUUUCAAUUUACUUUCUAUGGGGUAAUCCUAAUCGCACCAUUCGGUUCAUGAAUUUAGUAAGUUAACAAGGGUUAACUCGGGUUGGGUUUUUUUUGUUAUUUUUUUAAUUUUUAUUUUGUUCGUCAAUAUUAGAUUGGGUUAGGAAUGGAUCCUUGUAAUUUUUUUUCUUUUCAUGAGAUUAUUUCGUUCUCACGAUAAGUUUAAUAAGUUGAAUCGAGUUAUUUUUUUUAA
This is a long non-coding RNA of Populus trichocarpa (black cottonwood), 2382 nucleotides long. RefSeq lists it as uncharacterized. NCBI's taxonomy places the organism in Eukaryota, Viridiplantae, Streptophyta, Magnoliopsida, Malpighiales, Salicaceae. The transcript is spliced from 4 exons. The record is from RefSeq and is a predicted model, not a curated record.